Molecule: small nucleolar RNA, 144 nt
Organism: Rattus norvegicus (Norway rat)
Lineage: Eukaryota; Metazoa; Chordata; Mammalia; Rodentia; Muridae
Product: small nucleolar RNA SNORA48
Source: Ensembl
CGCCCCGGCAUUGGGUAAAGAGACAUUGGUGGUGGUGGUGGUGUUCUUAUAUCAGUCAGGGGCAGGGCAGAUGGCAGUCCUUUGUUCAUCAUAGCUUGAUGCUUAGUUUGGUGGCCAAAGCUGUUUUAUGCCUAGGACACAUAA